UACGUAGGUGGCAAGCGUUGUCCGGAUUUACUGGGCGUAAAGAGCGCGCAGGCGGUCGGAUCAGUCGAAUGUGAAAGCCCCCGGCUCAACUGGGGAGGGUCAUUCGAUACUGUCCGACUCGAAGGCAGGAGAGGGAAGCGGAAUUCCCGGUGUAGUGGUGAAAUGCGUAGAUAUCGGGAGGAACACCAGUGGCGAAGGCGACUACCUGGCCUGUUCUUGACGCUGAGGCGCGAAAGCUAGGGGAGCAAACGGG
RNAcentral lists this ribosomal RNA (253 nucleotides) under uncultured bacterium. Its description in RNAcentral is "partial 16S ribosomal RNA". It matches the Rfam family "Bacterial small subunit ribosomal RNA", at positions 524 to 776 of the family's 1533-position model. The record is from RNAcentral.